AAAAUUUUAGUUUAAGUAAAAUAUUUCUUUUACAAUGAAAAGAUUGAAUUUUAUUCAAAAUUUUA
This 65-nucleotide transfer RNA is filed under the name Apis koschevnikovi. RNAcentral's name for it is "tRNA-Val". Lineage: Eukaryota; Metazoa; Arthropoda; Insecta; Hymenoptera; Apidae. The record is from RNAcentral.